RNAcentral lists this long non-coding RNA (985 nucleotides) under Bos grunniens (domestic yak). RNAcentral describes it as "lncRNA (ENSBGRG00000007572.1)". Lineage: Eukaryota; Metazoa; Chordata; Mammalia; Artiodactyla; Bovidae. The record is from RNAcentral.
ACAGAGGUACCCAAUUGAGUCCCUGCUCUCUACUGAGCCUCGUGGGGCUCCAAAGGAAGCAUCCUGGCCUUUGGGUUGUACAUACACGGAUGAGAAAAUAAGAGCAGCACACAUCAAGCAUCAGUUCCAUGCUCAACUCUCCUGGAGUCCAGAAAAUGGAGCAAUCAAACGGUCUGGCAUAGAGAGAGGUUCCCAUGGAGGAGUUAUUGAGGUCGCAGUGAAUGAGAAGAAUUUAUGAGCAAGGGAGAGGAGGGUCAUUCCUGAUCACAAGGCUAGACUGUGAAAAAGCUCCUGGAUGGAGUCAGCAGGACAUGGGAGGGAUAUUCAUUCUUUUUAUAUUUUUAAGGAUCUAAAAUUUAUUUAUACACAGUUUGUUCAACAGUGUAAACUUUGUGUGGAGUAUGCUCAUGAUUCCCAUUCUGCAUACGAAGAAGCUGAGGCUCUAGGGUGGUCCGUUUGCUUGAAAUCAUAAUAGAAGAAUGAGGGGGAACAUUCAUUCCUAUUCUUUUGAGAUUUUUUGUUUUCUCCUUAGAACUUGGAAGAAGCUGCCUGAAGUUGAGAACGUGCCAAACAUUAACCUUAAUAAUGCUGUGAACUCUCCAAACGUAAGCUAUAUCCUCUGGCAAGCGCACGGGGACUCGGUUACUCAGCUGAACUACUAUGAUUCUAUCAAAGCUGUCAUUUCAAGCUCCAACCACGAGCCCACUGCUCUAGUCAUCGGUACUGCUUGCCCUUCUCUUAAGUUUCCCGUGUUCCCUUUUUGUGUGUCAGACCCUUGACUUUCUCCCACCUUUAGAAUUUCUACAUUGCAGCAGGCAUCCCACACUUGGAUAAUAACUCCCAGUGAAGCUCAAAAUGGGACAUCCUCCCACUGCUGAGUUUUAUAAGCCUCACUCUCGGCUGCCGGGGAGGCAGAGGGAGGGUGGGCAGGCCUAUCCCAGCCUUCGCUCAUACCCAGAGCUCAAUCCAUAUUUGUAUUUGUUGG